AAACUGUGUCACGUGUGUGUCGAAUCGGACCGUCGAUUAUUUAUUUUCGUUCUACUCGACAAUUCCAAAAAUCAGUGCCAUUCAUUGGCUUUAGCUUUGCCCUUGAACUUGAAAUCUCGUGCCUUAUUCUUUCCUGGGGACUGGUGUUGGAUAUUGAACGGGCGGAGUUACCGCCGGGAUGAUGGAUGAAGGAGAUGAUGGCCUAAACUUGGCUGCGCGCAUUCUCAUUUUCGCGUGGCCUGCCACUAGUGUUUCGCACAUUCACAAAGGGUGUCACAGGCAUAGCUGGAGGAAGAAAGGUACUACACGAAUGCGAAACGCGACAAACUCUACAACGUCAUUAGCCUGGAGUUCACCAAGACUAAGUUGGAGCCUCUAGUGCAGUCACCCAGUCUGGUACGUCAUUUGGAUUGGGUGGACUUGGUGUGGCCGGAAAUAUUGCGCGCUUUGCAGCAGGAGGCCACCAACCGACUGGUCGACAUGAAAUAUCCCAAAGUGCAAAAGUACUGCCUGAUGAGCGUCGGUGGCUGCUACACAGAUUUCCGUAUCGACUUUGGUGGCACAUCCGUCUGGUAUCAUAUUCUCAAGGGUGGAAAGGUCAGCAUUCCCUGUCUGUCUGUCUGUCUGUAUGUAUGUCUGUCUGUCUGUAUGUCUGUUUACCUUUCUGUCUGUUUAUCUGUCUGUCUGUUUCUCUACCCAUCAUCCAUCCGUACUUGUAUGUAUAUUUACCUCUCUGUCCAUCCUUCUGACUGACAAGCUCCUUAUAAUCACGAAUGUGUCUUGUAGCAGAACCUGAGAAGGAAGUGGAAUGAGAAGAAGAAAGCUGGCAUUGGCUUAAGUGUACAGCAUUUCACUGAUUAGAAGUCGCACUUGAUGAUAAGUCGCAACAGGUCUGAGCCAAGUUGUUUCAAUACAGUACAUUCACAUAUGGCCCAGAAUCUGCGAAAACCAGGCUUAGGGUGAAAAUCAUUUUUUUGAGAAAAUUGAUGUUUUGUAAAAAGGUUGUGUCGCGUGGACGAUCGAGUGCAGUGAAGUGGAACCAAAGAGAAUCUCGCUUGUUUGAAGAAGUAGUAUUCAUGGCAGGAAGGGUUUCAGCAGUCAGGGAAGUCAAAGGGCUUCCGGUAGAAUAUUCCCUGCUACUCCUCUAGUCACAACGAAGAGUUUUUGAGCUGAUCGAACGGAUUCCAUCUCCUACACUCAGGAAUGGCGAAAUUUCUGCGCUAGCUGCUGCUUGCGGAAAAUGGUGAAGAAAUCGUCUCCAGUUAGAGUCGUGAUGGCGAUAGCGAGGAGAACCUGGACGACAUCGAUCCAGCCAAUCGAAGUACGGAGAUACUAGCUGUUUCUGAGCCUCACGCAAAAGGAACACGCGCAGCAGAGCUCAUACGUUUGCAGCAAGUUCACGAGGAAAAAAAAAGGCUUGAAACGCAGUGUGAAAACUGUUUUGAAUUGAUGUCCUUGGCGAUGAAGUGCUACUGAAGGCCAGGCGAAUGAGUGAGCAGAUCGAGAGGCCCCCACUCGAGACUUUCCUCGCUGGUCAGCUAGCUGCAAGGGAUUGUCCAGCGUGCCGAUAUUUCACAUGCUGGUCAGCACCAAGCAGAUACUGCAGCACGCCAGCACACUAUGCUCUUACUAUGAACAGUGGAACAGUUUGAAAGGCUGUGUUCUUGCUUGUUAGUGAACAGUUGUACUAGAUUCACCCGUCAAAAGGUGCCAUCUCAACUGGAGUCGGGUUUCCUUGUGGUGUGUAGCGCCAGAGCACACCAGUACAUGUAUUCAGCUCCAGAAUGUGCUGAGUGAGGAGCAAACAAAAUUCAUGCAGAACUGUGCAUGGCCACUACAGCCUGCAGCACCAAGAGGCCACAACAAGCCUGCCCCCACAUGCCUACCUUGUCAUGUCACCUAAACAAAAAUCAUCCAUGUCUCUUCCUUCAGUCUGGUGCAUCUCUCUUCAUUUCUUUCCUGUGAUAACAAUUUUGUGUUUUUUUGGGAUUUUUUAACACAAUACCCUAGUGUGUUUGAGAUAGAUUUAAUACCACUAUUAGUCGACCCACACCUGUAAUAUUUUGUUUCCUGACCUUCCAUGCCCAGUAGAAGCUGAAAAUGGGAAAAAGUCAUUUUGUGAAAUUUCACCCUAAGCCCGGUUUUCGCAGAUUCUGGGCCAUAUUACGUAGGAAGAAGUCACGCUCGAUCGUAAGUCACACCACCUUCUUUAGGGGUCUUCCGUAAUUUUCGAAAAAUUAAAAAUCCGUCCUCGUGCAAAAUUGUCUCUGACCCACCCACCCACCCCCAUUUUUUCCGUUAAGUUUUUGAUUUUACCGAUGCCCAGCUGGAAAAUAAUAACUCCUGACGCCAUGUUUUCUGACUGCACCUACAUUGUAUGUCAAGUACUAGUAGCUAAGUACAGUGAGUAGUAGGUCAACCGACGGACAUGCACGUCCUACAACUACAUGAAAAGUCUGAAAAGUCAUGUAUAACAGUUAGUAGAUACUGGUGUUUGCGACAAUCGAUCCUACACUACGUCUACAGCAGGGAGUCGUAAAAUACCGGUAUUUUACGACUCCCUGGUCUACAGUACACUACACAGUCAGUGCAACAAGUGUAUGAAAGUCCCGGCCUGGAACAAAACCAAAAAAUACGAAAAAUCAAAAAAAUUAAUUCCGCCAGCACUCUUGACCACCCACCCCCUUUUUGCCUGAGGACGGAUUUUUUAAUUUUUCGAAAAAUACGGACGACUCCUUACCUGUUCAUUGGUUGAGGGAAAGAUGCAAACGGGAAAACGUCUGAAGAAAAAAUUGACUGGCGCCACCAGGACUCGAGCCAGGGGCUUUCACUUGAGGGCAGCGGUGCUCUAACCCUUCUGUUGCAAACCACCAGUUCUCAAGUGGGAAAGGCCUUCGCGCUGAUGGCAUUGUAUUCAUUGCAAUGUUGUAUUGCGACUCUGCCGUAGCGCUGAUGUUGCUGCAUGGCAUACGCUAUAUGCGCUGUGUUCAGUUUACAGUAUACGCUGUAAUGUCAUGUUUUAUAUGUGUAUGUUUUUCAUACACAUCUACACUGUUUUGCAUGCUAUAAAUACCUGCUGUUGUUAUUACUGUUCAUUAUUGUUAUAGUCCAUCAAACUGAAAUAUACUGUCAAGAAUAAAAUAGUUGUCCUCAUGCCGUGUGGUCAUUCCUUCCUGACACUUUAGAGAACCAGAGGUUUCACAACACCUUCUUUGCCGUUGAGGUUCAGUGUAAAAACGUGUGACUAACUCUACUGUUUACAAUGCGGCCGUCUGUGUGUGUGUGUGUGUGUGUGUGUGUGUGUGUAUGUGUGUGUGUGUGUGUGUGUGUGUGUAUGUGUGUGUGUGUGUGUGUGUGUGUGUGUGUGUGCGUGCGUGCGUGCGUGCGUGCGU
Long non-coding RNA from Sycon ciliatum, 3392 nucleotides. RefSeq lists it as uncharacterized. The record is from RefSeq and is a predicted model, not a curated record. NCBI's taxonomy places the organism in Eukaryota, Metazoa, Porifera, Calcarea, Leucosolenida, Sycettidae. The transcript has 4 exons.